UGGAUGUCUAGUGUCCCUUAUGGCUCUAAUAUGAUAAUGGCAGUAGGGUGGUGGAUGUCUAGUGUCCCUUAUGGCUCUAAUCUGAUAAUGGUAGUGGGGUGGUAGAUUCCUAGGGUCCCUUAUGGCUCUAAUAGGAUAGUGGUAGUGCGGGGUGGUAGAUUCCUAGUGUACCUUAUGGCUCUAAUCUGAUAGUGGUAGUGGGGUGGUAGAUUCCUAGUGUCCCUUAUGGCUCUAAUCUGAUAGUGGUAGUGGGGUGG
Molecule: long non-coding RNA, 257 nt
Organism: Oncorhynchus tshawytscha (Chinook salmon)
Lineage: Eukaryota; Metazoa; Chordata; Actinopteri; Salmoniformes; Salmonidae
Source: Ensembl